AAUUUUAAAAACAUUAAAAAAAAAUAUAAAUAUAGAGAAAGCUAAGAAAGUAAAGUGACUCUGGAAGAGUAAUAGCAAAAAGACGAGCUUUCGCUCGUUUGAGAAGAAUCGAUGGGUUUGGUCGAUUCUUCGUUUGGAGGAGUUGGUUUGAUUGAUUCAUUGGAUCUAAUUUUGGAUUGUAUUAUAAUCAAUUUGAUUUUGAUUUAGAUUAGAUCUACUACUAUUAACCGGACUUUAAUACUGGAUGAAGGGAGUUUCGUUGUCCCGAUAUACAUCCUCGACUUAUCAACUACAUAGACUUGAUUUUGGUGAUUUCGUUAUUGGAUUAUUGGAUUAAUUGGCCGUUUGGUACGGAAAAAUUAAAAAAAAAAUAUAUGGUUGACGAUUAAAAUGGUUCUUCUGUUCACAA
Long non-coding RNA from Drosophila innubila, 409 nucleotides. RefSeq lists it as uncharacterized. The record is from RefSeq and is a predicted model, not a curated record. Lineage: Eukaryota; Metazoa; Arthropoda; Insecta; Diptera; Drosophilidae. The transcript has 2 exons.